Molecule: ribosomal RNA, 223 nt
Filed under: uncultured fungus
Lineage: Eukaryota; Fungi
Description: partial small subunit ribosomal RNA
Rfam family: Eukaryotic small subunit ribosomal RNA (bases 106-223)
Source: RNAcentral
GGCUGGAGCGACCGGUCCGCCUCGCAAGGGGUGUGCACUAUGGUUGUCUCCGGCCAUCCUUGGGGAGAACGGCGCUGGCAUUCAGUUGUCGGCGUCGGGAACCCCAUCGUUUACUGUGAAAAAAUUAGAGUGUUUAAAGCAGGCUUACGCCUUUGAAUACAUUAGCAUGGAAUAAUAAGAUAGGACCUUGGUGGUCUAUUUUGUUGGUUUGCACACCAAGGUA